GCCCGGAUGGCGGAAUUGGUAGACGCGCUAGUUUCAGGGACUAGUGUGAGCAAUCGCGUGCAGGUUCGAGUCCUGUUCCGGGCA
Molecule: transfer RNA, 84 nt
Filed under: Dysgonamonadaceae bacterium
Lineage: Bacteria; Pseudomonadati; Bacteroidota; Bacteroidia; Bacteroidales; Dysgonomonadaceae
Description: tRNA-Leu
Rfam family: tRNA
About the family: Transfer RNA (tRNA) molecules are approximately 80 nucleotides in length. Their secondary structure includes four short double-helical elements and three loops (D, anti-codon, and T loops).
Source: RNAcentral